Molecule: ribosomal RNA, 484 nt
Filed under: uncultured bacterium
Lineage: Bacteria
Description: partial 16S ribosomal RNA
Rfam family: Bacterial small subunit ribosomal RNA
Source: RNAcentral
AUUGAACGCUGGCGGAAUGCUUUACACAUGCAAGUCGAGCGGCAGCACGGGGGCAACCCUGGUGGCGAGCGGCGAACGGGUGAGUAAUACAUCGGAACAUGCCCAGUCGUGGGGGAUAACACUUCGAAAGAAGUCCAAAUACCCCAACCUUCCUGGGGGGGAAAGCGGGGAAUCGCAAGACCUCGCGCGAUUGGAGUGGCCGAUGUCAGAUUAGCUAGUUGGUGGGGUAAAGGCCUACCAAGGCAACGAUCUGUAGCUGGUCUGAGAGGAUGAUCAGCCACACUGGGACUGAGACACGGCCCAGACUCCUACGGGAGGCAGCAGUGGGGAAUUUUGGACAAUGGGGGCAACCCUGAUCCAGCCAUUCCGCGUGAGUGAAGAAGGCCUUCGGGUUGUAAAGCUCUUUCGGCAGGAACGAAACGGUGAGCUCUAACAUAGCUUGCUAAUGACGGUACCUGAAGAAGAAGCACCGGCUAACUACGUG